Molecule: ribosomal RNA, 247 nt
Filed under: uncultured bacterium
Lineage: Bacteria
Description: partial 16S ribosomal RNA
Rfam family: Bacterial small subunit ribosomal RNA
Source: RNAcentral
GAGUAACGCGUGGAUAACCUGCCUCACACUGGGGGAUAACAGUUAGAAAUGACUGCUAAUACCGCAUAAGCGCACAGUGCCGCAUGGCAGUGUGUGAAAAACUCCGGUGGUGUGAGAUGGAUCCGCGUCUGAUUAGCCAGUUGGCGGGGUAACGGCCCACCAAAGCGACGAUCAGUAGCCGACCUGAGAGGGUGACCGGCCACAUUGGGACUGAGACACGGCCCAAACUCCUACGGGAGGCAGCAUG